CACAUACACAUAUAUUUACUAUCCAUAUGCAUCCAAACAUAUUUACAGAAAGCAUAUGCCCAUUAAGGGGCCUAUAAAACAUAGCAGCAACUCUUAUUAAUUUUGUCACAGAAUUCAUUUCCUUUCUUGUAAUUAGCGCAUCACAAUACUCAUCACUGUAUAUCUCCUCCAUAAAGCUUGUCACAUGUCCCCUCUGGAUCUUCCCAGCUCUUCCUAUUUAUGGCCGUGAUAAGGCAUUUUCUCCUUGGUUGUGACUGCUAGCUUAUGUAACUAACUGUCCCACUAACAUAGCCAGAAUCUGAUCCCUGGAAGGAAAGUGGCAAGAGUGUUUCCCUCGAUCAGAUUCGCAGAGUGCUUACACUAAAGAGUUUUACGUUCCUCAAAGUCAUCAGGAAAAGUGUGAAUUAGCUGGCCCUGGAGCACCUGAGACAGACAAGCUGUCUACUCUUGCCCAGCUUUCUGUAAAAACAGGAAAACUGCCUUGUGGAAAGGUGCAUGCUGGAGCCAAGAAGCUGCAGCACAUUUCAGUGUUGCCAUGACAGAGAAGAGGAUCGUGAUGAGGGGGAGUUUUGCAAGACUUGACAUGUGCCUAUUUGAGUUUCUAAGUGAAGUGUCCAUUAAGACUGUGCCCAAGAUUGGUCAAAAGAGGACAUCAGACAUAAGAAGUCUACUGGGAAGCCAGUCAGAUUGGCCUAUGACGCAGGAUUAUUUGUGCCCAUGAGGGAAACACGAAGGAUUGUCAGUAUUCAUUUGCUAUCAGAACUGCCUUUGAACUUCAGGGAAGCCGCCAUCUUGUUUUUGUUCACUCCUCUAAAGCAC
This 819-nucleotide long non-coding RNA is filed under the name Pan paniscus (pygmy chimpanzee). Its description in RNAcentral is "lncRNA (ENSPPAG00000044984.1)". Lineage: Eukaryota; Metazoa; Chordata; Mammalia; Primates; Hominidae. The record is from RNAcentral.